Long non-coding RNA from Ctenopharyngodon idella (grass carp), 456 nucleotides. RefSeq lists it as uncharacterized. The record is from RefSeq and is a predicted model, not a curated record. Lineage: Eukaryota; Metazoa; Chordata; Actinopteri; Cypriniformes; Xenocyprididae. The transcript has 3 exons.
UAUUACUGGCCAUGUAACUGCAUUCACUCACACACUCAAUCUAUCUAUUCAUCAUCAUCAUCUAUCAUCAUCAUCUAUGAAAUACGUGAGAAUUGAUUUUUUUAUUUUAUUGAUCAAAUUGUCUGUUCUGUUUCACCUGGACUGCAGUAGUAGGUAAUACAACUUUCCUUUGCCAGUUAUCUUUAAAGUGAUAAAAUGAUGUUUCAUGUUCAUGUUUAACAUUGCUCGUGUUUUAGGUAUAAUUUUUUCACAGUGAAGAAAUUUAUGUUUGGUGAAGUAGGUAUAAUACAUAUUUUUGUUGCCUCAGGAAAAAGAAGAAGGACACAGAUUCUGACACACACAGUUUAAAUACUGGCAUUGAUUUAAAUGAAGAUAGAAGGAGUAUUGACUUUCCUGUUAACUUCAAAACAAUCCCAGAAUCCAUAGAGGGUGAGGUUAGUGAGAAAUUUUGACAGA